GUCUGCGGCCAUGCUACCCUGAACAAGCCUGAUCCUAUCUGAUCUUGGAAGCUAAGCAGGGUCGGGCCUGGUUAGAACUUGAAUGGGAGACCACAUAGGAAGACCAGGUACUGUAGGUG
This 119-nucleotide ribosomal RNA is filed under the name Pteropus alecto (black flying fox). The record is from RNAcentral. Lineage: Eukaryota; Metazoa; Chordata; Mammalia; Chiroptera; Pteropodidae.